AGUGGACGCUGGCGGUAGGCCUAACACAUGCAAGUCGAACGGCAGCACAGUAAGAGCUUGCUCUUACGGGUGGCGAGUGGCGGACGGGUGAGGAAUACAUCGGAAUCUACUUUUUCGUGGGGGAUAACGUAGGGAAACUUACGCUAAUACCGCAUACGACCUACGGGUGAAAGCAGGGGAUCUUCGGACCUUGCGCGAUUGAAUGAGCCGAUGUCGGAUUAGCUAGUUGGCGGGGUAAAGGCCCACCAAGGCGACGAUCCGUAGCUGGUCUGAGAGGAUGAUAAGCCACACUGGAACUGAGACACGGUCCAGACUCCUACGGGAGGCAGCAGUGGGGAAUAUUGGACAAUGGGCGCAAGCCUGAUCCAGCCAUACCGCGUGGGUGAAGAAGGCCUUCGGGUUGUAAAGCCCUUUUGUUGGGAAAGAAAAGCAGCAGGUUAAUACCCCGCUGUUCUGACGGUACCCAAAGAAUAAGCACCGGCUAACUUCGUG
RNAcentral lists this ribosomal RNA (492 nucleotides) under uncultured bacterium. Its description in RNAcentral is "partial 16S ribosomal RNA". It matches the Rfam family "Bacterial small subunit ribosomal RNA", at positions 29 to 507 of the family's 1533-position model. The record is from RNAcentral.